UUUCUCAUCUCACCAUAUCCACAGGUACAGAGUCAUCAUAUACAAUAAAUCUGUGGGGUAGCAUUUAAAAAACAUUUAAAAAUAGAUGCAUUUGUUUAAACCAAAGCAUUUAUUUACUUAGGCUACAGGUGAAGCAGCUCUUUACACCGUCUAACGUCUCAUAAUCGAUCCUCAUUUAUGUCCAAGAGACUCAAUAAUAAUAUUUUACAUUCAAUCCUUUAAUCUUUCAUGUUUAAAAGCGUUUUUAUGCUGCUGCUGCGCAUUCAUGUAGGCUAUGUAAGCAAACCCGCGUUGUCGUCCUGUUUAUAGGCGCAUAUUACUAACGCGCUCUUUAAAUAACAAAAAACAUAUUGUGCCAUUGACUUUAGACUUUAGAGCAGGUUUUUGUUGGUCAAUGGCGUAGUCUAUUUUAGUUGCCUCAAAAUAGCCACUCGCCAACAAUGCGCCUGAACACACCUCAUUUUCAGACCAGAACGCCCAUGGGCGCAACAUUAGGCGCAAAUGCAUUUGCUAUUUAAACAACGUGGCGUUAAACGUGAAAAUGAUAAUUGCGCCGGGUUGAAACUAGCCAAAGACACUUGUGUCGUGCAUUGGGCUGCAUUGCGCCGGGUGUAUGAUAGAGCCCUAUGUAUGUUUUGAUCAUCACUCUAAAUCUGAUCUCUAACAAAAGUCCUUUAUUAAAAUGCAAUUAUCUCAGCUUUUUGCUGAAAAUUUUGUAUUUUUGAAGAAACCUACCCAUAUUUAAACUUUUGUGAAAAACAUAAAAAAUCCUGGCUGGCAACUUUUAAAAAAACGCUGUCAGGGGAAGAGUUAAAUGGUACUGUCCUAAUGGCAUCUAGGGACCAUUUUUUCUAACAGUGCAGGCAGCAAAUAAUUCAAUGUGCCUUGUUGCCUUCCUACUGUACCUCUAUAUAGCAUUCCCAAAAGCUGCAAAGACACCAUUUAGGGUGCACACACAGAACCCAUCAGCACCAUGUUUUAUCCACAUACUGUAACAGCACAAGUAUGAGAUGCAUGCAAAAGUGCUGUCUACACUCAUAGAUACUUCAUGCUCUGAGAUUAAGUUAUUUUCUCCUCGCCAAUUCAAGAAUUAAUAUUAUUAUUAUUAAUAUAGAAUAACCUGCAGACAUACUUUAUAAUCACAUCAGAAGUUAACUUUAGAUGCACUAAAAAUCUUUCAUUAUCUGCUGUUCACCAAAAGUGUUCCUGUAUAGGUCAGUGGUAGAGCUUUGCGUUACCAGCGCAAAAGGUCAUGGGUUCGAAAACAUGGAUAAAAAUAUGCGCCUGCCAAAUGCAUAAAUGUAAAAAAAAUGACCAUUGAGUUACAUGAGGGUGAACAGUUUGGUUGCCUUAUUGCUUUUUUAAUGAUUUAAGCACAGAAUUAAGCUGUAAGCAUCUUUGUUCCAUUACCAUAAACAACGAAAUGGGCCGAUUUUAUUCAAUGAUUAAUCGUUGUAUCACUUUAACUGUGGAAAUUGCAGCAGUACGGCUCCAGCAGCACUUCAUUAUUCCUAAUGACUUUAAAAUCAUAUCCAUUUACUGUGUAUCCAGGGCUCUACAUCAAGGAUCCAUUAUGUAUUUAAUGUCGGGAGAUUUUUAUAAUCAAUACUGACUUGGACAUGAAGUAGUCGUUUAGAGAACCGACUGUAUGUUUUCCCUGUUUAUUUAUUCUGUCUUUGCAGCUGCGGUCAACCGUGUUUGAUCUUUCACAUACAAUUGGUUGUGAUUUCGUGCUUUAAACUGUUAAAAAAUAGUCUGAAGCUUUUACAGGAGUAAAAUUAAUGACCUCACGUUCCUGAGGUGACGACAGUCAGCUGCAGAGCCGUCUCCGGGUGAGGACCUUUCUCGGUCGCCGUGCUAUCGCCAUGGUAACAAGCUUAGGGGAAUGAGAAAGAGAAUAAUCUAAUCUCCCCAUUUUAGCUGCUGCGAUAAAGACAGUCACAGUGCUGUCUGCAGUGGGAGGUGAAGACUGUAAGGAAAGUGGCUGUGUUUAGAGGUUGUAUGAUUAACAUUCAGUCUGUGUAUAAAUACAGUACGUGCACUGUUUAUCAGUGUGUGUCACUGCUGCUGGAAAAGGCUUUAAACACAACAGGGAUAAUUCUGUUGUUCAUAGGUCCAUUUGAUUAAAGAAAUCCUGUUACAUCUCUAUCAUUCUAUUAUACCUGUUGGUAACCAAGAUGGUAGGGCCACAAAACUAACCAUACAGUACUUUUGACAUCCUGCACUACACAGACACAAAUGUUUGUCCGAUAAAAUGCUUCCUGGAAUGAGAAUGUUUCUCUCCCUAAUAUUCACAAUAGCUUUUCAGCGAGAUUAAAUGAUGGAAACAUCUAAAGAAGUUUCCAAUAGUAAAGUAUACUGUAUUAGGGGGCAGCAAUGCAUUUAUGCCUGCGGCUGGCAAAUGUUUUUAAUUGUUUCGAAUGGAAGCUCCUUGUUUUAUAAAACUUUGCUUAACCCACUAUUCCUACACUACAACGAGUACUUGAAAAGAUGAAGAUGUUUUUAAAAAAUUAUUUAGUAUCAUCUUCAUUUACUUAACAUUAUUAACAUGUUUGGAGGCAUAAAUGGCAUAAAAUGUUUGGAAAUAAUGACAGCAGAGAAAAUAUUUUCUUGCACAUUUGCAUUUUACAUUGUACAAUAAUAAUGAUCAAUAGCUUAUUUUUUAUAAGAAUAUUUUUUCAAUAAUAAUAUUUCAACAAAUAUUACUAAAAUCAUCUCAGUCAUAGUUACUGCCAAUCGUGUUUGUAGUGUCCUAGAGUUAGUGAACUAAACAUUAAUUUGAUAUCUGAAAAUACAGAACAGUAUAAUGCUGCGUUCACACCAGCCGCGGUAGAGGCGUCAAGCAAAAGUGAGUUCAAUGUUAAAUUAAUGUGAAGACCAGUGUUGUUUUUGGCAGCCCUUUUAGUUUUCGUUUUAGUCUUAGUCUUUUGGACGAAAAUGCUUUUAGUUUUAGUCACAUUUUAGUCACUUGUAAAAUGUAUAGUUUUAGUCAAGUUUUAGUCGACGAAAACGCAAAAAGGUUUUAGUCAAGUUUAAGUCAAUUUUAGUAAAAAAAGUAUUUUUUAACCAAUGAAUUUAGGUUAAAAAGUGUGGUGUAUUUAAUACAAUUAAAAUGUGCAUUAAGGUUGUCCCUGAGGGCUUGCCGUUGUUUUAGUCGGUGUGCCUUCUGCGCAUGUCAUAACAAAAAGUUAUGAAGAAAAAAGUUUAGCCUAAUAUACCAUCAUGUUGAGUUUGUGUGUUACGCUGAGACCUCGCUUAUAAAGUUGAGAAACGCGUGCCUUGCCUUAUUUAAAUACACCACAAAAAGUAUUGGAAAUGGGCUUAGGUUUGACAAGCAGAUACAUGUAAAACCUUAAGCUUACCAUGAAAUGUGUCACAAGCCGAUUGUCGAGUAAAAUUGAAUGUAUAUGAUAUGUUAAA
Non-coding RNA from Misgurnus anguillicaudatus (oriental weatherfish), 3420 nucleotides. The record is from RefSeq and is a predicted model, not a curated record. Lineage: Eukaryota; Metazoa; Chordata; Actinopteri; Cypriniformes; Cobitidae.